CCUACGGGAGGCAGCAGUGGGGAAUUUUCCGCAAUGGGCGAAAGCCUGACGGAGCAAUACCGCGUGAGGGAAGAAAGCCUACUGGGUUGUAAACCUCUUUUUUCAGGGAGGAAAAAAAUGACGUGUACCUGAAGAAUAAGCAUCGGCUAACUCCGUGCCAGCAGCCGCGGUAAGACGGAGGAUGCAAGUGUUAUCCGGAAUUACUGGGCGUAAAGCGUCUGUAGGUGGUUUAAUAAGUCAACUGUUAAAUCUUGAGGCUUAACUUCAAAACAGCAGUCGAAACUAUUAGACUAGAGUAUAGUAGGGGUAAAGGGAAUUUCCAGUGGAGCGGUGAAAUGCGUAGAUAUUGGAAAGAACACCGAUGGCGAAAGCACUUUACUGGGCUAUUACUAACACUCAGAGACGAAAGCUAGGGUAGCAAAUGGGAUUAGAUACCCCAGUAGUCCUAGCUGUAAACAAUGGAUACUAGAUGUUGAACAGAUCGACCUGUGCAGUAUUAAAGCUAACGCGUUAAGUAUCCCGCCUGGGAAGUAUGCUCGCAAGNGUGAAACUUAAUNAUAGAGNGNGAGAGNGCGACGACGACACGAGGAGUAG
This 594-nucleotide ribosomal RNA is filed under the name uncultured bacterium. RNAcentral describes it as "bacterial SSU rRNA". It matches the Rfam family "Bacterial small subunit ribosomal RNA", at positions 338 to 944 of the family's 1533-position model. The record is from RNAcentral.